GUGCAAAGGAAUAGGGCUAGUGUGCGGUCCUGGGAUGCAUGAUGCAACAAAACAAGACCUUAGGGAUUUAAAAGAAAAUAAAAGAAAAAAGAAGAAGCCAUGAGGAGUUAGGAGAUGGAAUCGGCCAGGACUCUGGGGGCUAGGAAAUCUAUAAAAAGAGAUGUAGGGUACCUAAGGAAGAGAAGAGAUUAAGAUAGAAAAAGUAUAGAGAGAAUG
This 216-nucleotide long non-coding RNA is filed under the name Elaeis guineensis (African oil palm). RNAcentral's name for it is "long non-coding RNA (EGUI_LNC065563)". Lineage: Eukaryota; Viridiplantae; Streptophyta; Magnoliopsida; Arecales; Arecaceae. The record is from RNAcentral.